Molecule: ribosomal RNA, 459 nt
Filed under: uncultured bacterium
Lineage: Bacteria
Description: partial 16S ribosomal RNA
Rfam family: Bacterial small subunit ribosomal RNA
Source: RNAcentral
CCUACGGGAGGCAGCAGUGAGGAAUAUUGGUCAAUGGUCGGGAGACUGAACCAGCCAAGCCGCGUGAGGGAUGAAGGUACAGAGUAUCGUAAACCUCUUUUGUCAGGGAACAAAGGCGGGGACGUGUCCCCGGAUGAGUGUACCUGAAGAAAAAGCAUCGGCUAACCCCGUGCCAGCAGCCGCGGUAAUACGGAGGAUGAGAGCGUUAUCGGGAUUUAUUGGGUUUAAAGGGUGCGCAGGCGGUCUGUUAAGUCAGCGGUAAAAGCCCGGGGCUCAACCCCGGCCCGCCGUUGAAACUGGCAGUCUCGAGUUGGAGAGAAGUAUGCGGAAUGCGAGGUGUAGCGGUGAAAUGCAUAGAUAUCGCGCAGAACUCCGAUUGCGAAGGCAGCAUGCCGGCUCCACACUGACGCUGAGGCACGAAAGCGUGGGUAUCGAACAGGAUUAGAUACCCGUGUAGUC